RNAcentral lists this ribosomal RNA (253 nucleotides) under uncultured bacterium. RNAcentral's name for it is "partial 16S ribosomal RNA". It matches the Rfam family "Bacterial small subunit ribosomal RNA", at positions 524 to 776 of the family's 1533-position model. The record is from RNAcentral.
UACGUAGGGUGCAAGCGUUAAUCGGAAUUACUGGGCGUAAAGCGUGCGCAGGCGGUUUUGUAAGUCUGUCGUGAAAUCCCCGGGCUCAACCUGGGAAUUGCGAUGGAGACUGCAAGGCUAGAAUCUGGCAGAGGGGGGUAGAAUUCCACGUGUAGCAGUGAAAUGCGUAGAGAUGUGGAGGAACACCGAUGGCGAAGGCAGCCCCCUGGGUCAAGACUGACGCUCAUGCACGAAAGCGUGGGGAGCAAACAGG